GAGUUUGAUCGUGGCUCAGAUUGAACGCUGGCGGCAUGCCUUACACAUGCAAGUCGAACGGCAGCACGGGAGCUUGCUCCUGGUGGCGAGUGGCGAACGGGUGAGUAAUGCAUCGGAACGUAUCCUGGAGUGGGGGGAUAACGUAGCGAAAGUUACGCUAAUACCGCAUAUUCUGUGAGCAGGAAAGCGGGGGACCUUCGGGCCUCGCGCUCUUGGAGCGGCCGAUGUCGGAUUAGCUAGUUGGUGAGGUAAAGGCUCACCAAGGCGACGAUCCGUAGCAGGUCUGAGAGGAUGAUCUGCCACACUGGAACUGAGACACGGUCCAGACUCCUACGGGAGGCAGCAGUGGGAAUUUUGGACAAUGGGGGCAACCCUGAUCCAGCCAUGCCGCGUGAGUGAAGAAGG
Molecule: ribosomal RNA, 405 nt
Filed under: bacterium enrichment culture clone ALO1_GLFRUDD03GHWC1
Lineage: Bacteria
Description: bacterial SSU rRNA
Rfam family: Bacterial small subunit ribosomal RNA
Source: RNAcentral